This 358-nucleotide ribosomal RNA is filed under the name uncultured bacterium. RNAcentral describes it as "bacterial SSU rRNA". It matches the Rfam family "Bacterial small subunit ribosomal RNA", at positions 30 to 390 of the family's 1533-position model. The record is from RNAcentral.
AUUGAACGCUGGCGGCAUGCCUUACACAUGCAAGUCGAACGGCAGCGCGGGGCAACCUGGCGGCGAGUGGCGAACGGGUGAGUAAUAUAUCGGAACGUACCCUGGAGUGGGGGAGUAACGUAGCGAAGUUACGCUAAUACCGCAUACGAUCUAAGGAUGAAAGACAGGGGACCGCAAGGCCUUGUGCUCCUGGAGCGGCCGAUAUCUGAUUAGCUAGUUGGUAGGGAAAAGACCUACCAAGGCAUCGAUCAGUAGCUGGUCUGAGAGGACGACCAGCCACACUGGAACUGAGACACGGUCCAGACUCCUACGGGAGGCAGCAGUGGGGAAUUUGGACAAUGGGCGCAAGCCUGAUCCA